GAGAUAGAGAUAUGUUUGUUUUGGGUUGUUCAGGUUCAAGAUUGUUCAAGAAGAAAGGCUUUAAAGGAUCAUUUGCAGAUGCAGGGCAGUCUGCAAAGACUUUUGCUGUUUUAUCUGGAGUCCAUAGUUUGGUUGUUUGCCUUCUCAAGCAAGUGCGUGGGAAAGAUGACGCCAUUAAUGUUGGAGUUGCGGGAUGCUGCACUGGUCUUGCUCUUAGUUUC
Camelina sativa (false flax) is the source of this 221-nucleotide non-coding RNA. The record is from RefSeq and is a predicted model, not a curated record. NCBI's taxonomy places the organism in Eukaryota, Viridiplantae, Streptophyta, Magnoliopsida, Brassicales, Brassicaceae.